Molecule: ribosomal RNA, 846 nt
Filed under: Haemophilus influenzae
Lineage: Bacteria; Pseudomonadati; Pseudomonadota; Gammaproteobacteria; Pasteurellales; Pasteurellaceae
Description: bacterial SSU rRNA
Rfam family: Bacterial small subunit ribosomal RNA
Source: RNAcentral
GGGGGAUAACGACGGGAAACUGUCGCUAAUACCGCGUAUUAUCGGAAGAUGAAAGUGCGGGACUGAGAGGCCGCAUGCCAUAGGAUGAGCCCAAGUGGGAUUAGGUAGUUGGUGGGGUAAAGGCCUACCAAGCCUGCGAUCUCUAGCUGGUCUGAGAGGAUGACCAGCCACACUGGAACUGAGACACGGUCCAGACUCCUACGGGAGGCAGCAGUGGGGAAUAUUGCGCAAUGGGGGGAACCCUGACGCAGCCAUGCCGCGUGAAUGAAGAAGGCCUUAGGGUUGUAAAGUUCUUUCGGUAUUGAGGAAGGUUGAUGUGUUAAUAGCACAUCAAAUUGACGUUAAAUACAGAAGAAGCACCGGCUAACUCCGUGCCAGCAGCCGCGGUAAUACGGAGGGUGCGAGCGUUAAUCGGAAUAACUGGGCGUAAAGGGCACGCAGGCGGUUAUUUAAGUGAGGUGUGAAAGCCCCGGGCUUAACCUGGGAAUUGCAUUUCAGACUGGGUAACUAGAGUACUUUAGGGAGGGGUAGAAUUCCACGUGUAGCGGUGAAAUGCGUAGAGAUGUGGAGGAAUACCGAAGGCGAAGGCAGCCCCUUGGGAAUGUACUGACGCUCAUGUGCGAAAGCGUGGGGAGCAAACAGGAUUAGAUACCCUGGUAGUCCACGCUGUAAACGCUGUCGAUUUGGGGGUUGGGGUUUAACUCUGGCGCCCGUAGCUAACGUGAUAAAUCGACCGCCUGGGGAGUACGGCCGCAAGGUUAAAACUCAAAUGAAUUGACGGGGGCCCGCACAAGCGGUGGAGCAUGUGGUUUAAUUCGAUGCAACGCGAAGAACCUUACCUACUCU